GCAAACUUGGUCAUUUAGAGGAAGUAAAAGUCGUAACAAGGUUUCCGUAGGUGAACCUGCGGAAGGAUCAUUAAUGAAUUGUGGCCUCGCCAAAUUCUCUCUCCAUCCGUGCUCUGUACCAGGUGCUUUGGCGGUACAACCUCUGCAAGCCAAAAGUGAUCGCACUCCAUAUUUCCUCUGCUUAAGGAGGGGGGAACGUCACAGACUUGGGGGAGGGCGUAUCGCCAAUGGAUUUAUAGACGCGUAAAUUUAUUUGUCUGGAUAUGCAUGAAUAAAAAAAGCAAAAAACUAUGAACAACGGAUCUCUAGGCUCUUGCAUCGAUGAAGAACGCAGC
Molecule: unclassified non-coding RNA, 335 nt
Filed under: uncultured fungus
Lineage: Eukaryota; Fungi
Description: partial contains small subunit ribosomal RNA, internal transcribed spacer 1, and 5.8S ribosomal RNA
Rfam family: Eukaryotic small subunit ribosomal RNA (bases 1-73)
Source: RNAcentral